RNAcentral lists this ribosomal RNA (482 nucleotides) under uncultured bacterium. Its description in RNAcentral is "partial 16S ribosomal RNA". It matches the Rfam family "Bacterial small subunit ribosomal RNA", at positions 30 to 507 of the family's 1533-position model. The record is from RNAcentral.
AUUGAACGCUGGCGGCAUGCCUUACACAUGCAAGUCGAACGGUAACAGGUCUUCGGAUGCUGACGAGUGGCGAACGGGUGAGUAAUACAUCGGAACGUGCCCGAUCGUGGGGGAUAACGAAGCGAAAGCUUUGCUAAUACCGCAUACGAUCUACGGAUGAAAGCAGGGGACCGCAAGGCCUUGCGCGAACGGAGCGGCCGAUGGCAGAUUAGGUAGUGGGUGGGAUAAAAGCUUACCAAGCCGACGAUCUGUAGCUGGUCUGAGAGGACGACCAGCCACACUGGGACUGAGACACGGCCCAGACUCCUACGGGAGGCAGCAGUGGGGAAUUUUGGACAAUGGGCGAAAGCCUGAUCCAGCCAUGCCGCGUGCAGGAUGAAGGCCUUCGGGUUGUAAACUGCUUUUGUACGGAACGAAAAGACUCUGGUUAAUACCUGGGGUCCAUGACGGUACCGGAAGAAUAAGCACCGGCUAACUACGUG